RNAcentral lists this ribosomal RNA (2451 nucleotides) under Escherichia coli. Its description in RNAcentral is "partial 23S ribosomal RNA". It matches the Rfam family "Bacterial large subunit ribosomal RNA", at positions 165 to 2640 of the family's 2925-position model. Lineage: Bacteria; Pseudomonadati; Pseudomonadota; Gammaproteobacteria; Enterobacterales; Enterobacteriaceae. The record is from RNAcentral.
CAUAGGUUAAUGAGGCGAACCGGGGGAACUGAAACAUCUAAGUACCCCGAGGAAAAGAAAUCAACCGAGAUUCCCCCAGUAGCGGCGAGCGAACGGGGAGCAGCCCAGAGCCUGAAUCAGUGUGUGUGUUAGUGGAAGCGUCUGGAAAGGCGCGCGAUACAGGGUGACAGCCCCGUACACAAAAAUGCACAUGCUGUGAGCUCGAUGAGUAGGGCGGGACACGUGGUAUCCUGUCUGAAUAUGGGGGGACCAUCCUCCAAGGCUAAAUACUCCUGACUGACCGAUAGUGAACCAGUACCGUGAGGGAAAGGCGAAAAGAACCCCGGCGAGGGGAGUGAAAAAGAACCUGAAACCGUGUACGUACAAGCAGUGGGAGCACGCUUAGGCGUGUGACUGCGUACCUUUUGUAUAAUGGGUCAGCGACUUAUAUUCUGUAGCAAGGUUAACCGAAUAGGGGAGCCGAAGGGAAACCGAGUCUUAACUGGGCGUUAAGUUGCAGGGUAUAGACCCGAAACCCGGUGAUCUAGCCAUGGGCAGGUUGAAGGUUGGGUAACACUAACUGGAGGACCGAACCGACUAAUGUUGAAAAAUUAGCGGAUGACUUGUGGCUGGGGGUGAAAGGCCAAUCAAACCGGGAGAUAGCUGGUUCUCCCCGAAAGCUAUUUAGGUAGCGCCUCGUGAAUUCAUCUCCGGGGGUAGAGCACUGUUUCGGCAAGGGGGUCAUCCCGACUUACCAACCCGAUGCAAACUGCGAAUACCGGAGAAUGUUAUCACGGGAGACACACGGCGGGUGCUAACGUCCGUCGUGAAGAGGGAAACAACCCAGACCGCCAGCUAAGGUCCCAAAGUCAUGGUUAAGUGGGAAACGAUGUGGGAAGGCCCAGACAGCCAGGAUGUUGGCUUAGAAGCAGCCAUCAUUUAAAGAAAGCGUAAUAGCUCACUGGUCGAGUCGGCCUGCGCGGAAGAUGUAACGGGGCUAAACCAUGCACCGAAGCUGCGGCAGCGACGCUUAUGCGUUGUUGGGUAGGGGAGCGUUCUGUAAGCCUGUGAAGGUGUGCUGUGAGGCAUGCUGGAGGUAUCAGAAGUGCGAAUGCUGACAUAAGUAACGAUAAAGCGGGUGAAAAGCCCGCUCGCCGGAAGACCAAGGGUUCCUGUCCAACGUUAAUCGGGGCAGGGUGAGUCGACCCCUAAGGCGAGGCCGAAAGGCGUAGUCGAUGGGAAACAGGUUAAUAUUCCUGUACUUGGUGUUACUGCGAAGGGGGGACGGAGAAGGCUAUGUUGGCCGGGCGACGGUUGUCCCGGUUUAAGCGUGUAGGCUGGUUUUCCAGGCAAAUCCGGAAAAUCAAGGCUGAGGCGUGAUGACGAGGCACUACGGUGCUGAAGCAACAAAUGCCCUGCUUCCAGGAAAAGCCUCUAAGCAUCAGGUAACAUCAAAUCGUACCCCAAACCGACACAGGUGGUCAGGUAGAGAAUACCAAGGCGCUUGAGAGAACUCGGGUGAAGGAACUAGGCAAAAUGGUGCCGUAACUUCGGGAGAAGGCACGCUGAUAUGUAGGUGAAGUCCCUCGCGGAUGGAGCUGAAAUCAGUCGAAGAUACCAGCUGGCUGCAACUGUUUAUUAAAAACACAGCACUGUGCAAACACGAAAGUGGACGUAUACGGUGUGACGCCUGCCCGGUGCCGGAAGGUUAAUUGAUGGGGUUAGCGCAAGCGAAGCUCUUGAUCGAAGCCCCGGUAAACGGCGGCCGUAACUAUAACGGUCCUAAGGUAGCGAAAUUCCUUGUCGGGUAAGUUCCGACCUGCACGAAUGGCGUAAUGAUGGCCAGGCUGUCUCCACCCGAGACUCAGUGAAAUUGAACUCGCUGUGAAGAUGCAGUGUACCCGCGGCAAGACGGAAAGACCCCGUGAACCUUUACUAUAGCUUGACACUGAACAUUGAGCCUUGAUGUGUAGGAUAGGUGGGAGGCUUUGAAGUGUGGACGCCAGUCUGCAUGGAGCCGACCUUGAAAUACCACCCUUUAAUGUUUGAUGUUCUAACGUUGACCCGUAAUCCGGGUUGCGGACAGUGUCUGGUGGGUAGUUUGACUGGGGCGGUCUCCUCCUAAAGAGUAACGGAGGAGCACGAAGGUUGGCUAAUCCUGGUCGGACAUCAGGAGGUUAGUGCAAUGGCAUAAGCCAGCUUGACUGCGAGCGUGACGGCGCGAGCAGGUGCGAAAGCAGGUCAUAGUGAUCCGGUGGUUCUGAAUGGAAGGGCCAUCGCUCAACGGAUAAAAGGUACUCCGGGGAUAACAGGCUGAUACCGCCCAAGAGUUCAUAUCGACGGCGGUGUUUGGCACCUCGAUGUCGGCUCAUCACAUCCUGGGGCUGAAGUAGGUCCCAAGGGUAUGGCUGUUCGCCAUUUAAAGUGGUACGCGAGCUGGGUUUAGAACGUCGUGAGACAGUUCGGUCCCUA